CACCCCUCAAGCCUUGCUUGGUGUUGGAGCACUACCGUUUAUAUAAAGCGGUAGGCUCUGAAAUUCAGUGGCGGGCUCGCUAAGACUCUGAGCGUAGUAGUUUAUCACCUCGCUUUGGAAGGAUUAGCGGUGCUCUUGCCGUAAAACCCCCCAACUUCUGAA
RNAcentral lists this unclassified non-coding RNA (162 nucleotides) under uncultured Schizoparmaceae. RNAcentral's name for it is "sequence contains ITS2". Lineage: Eukaryota; Fungi; Ascomycota; Sordariomycetes; Diaporthales; Schizoparmaceae. The record is from RNAcentral.